GAUUCUGGCUCAGAUGAACGCUGGCGGCGUGCUUAACACAUGCAAGUCGCGCGUGAAAGGACUUCGGUCCGAGUAAAGCGGCGCACGGGUGAGUAACGCGUGGAUGAUCUACCCAUGAGUUAGGAAUAACGGCUGGAAACGGUCGCUAAUACCAAAUACGCUCCGAUUUCAACUUCGGGGGAAAGGUGGCCUCUGCUUGCAAGCUACUGCUCAUGGAUGAGUCCGCGUCCCAUUAGCUAGUUGGUGGGGUAACGGCCCACCAAGGCGACGAUGGGUAGCCGGUCUGAGAGGAUGACCGGCCACACUGGGACUGGAACACGGCCCAGACUCCUACGGGAGGCAGCAGUGGGGAAUAUUGCGCAAUGGGCGAAAGCCUGACGCAGCGACGCCGCGUGAGGGAUGAAGGUCCUCGGAUCGUAAACCUCUGUCAGGAGGGAAGAACCGCCACGGUGCUAAUCAGCCGUGGUCUGACGGUACCUCCAAAGGAAGCACCGGCUAACUCCGUGCCAGCCGCAGC
This 517-nucleotide ribosomal RNA is filed under the name uncultured bacterium. Its description in RNAcentral is "bacterial SSU rRNA". It matches the Rfam family "Bacterial small subunit ribosomal RNA", at positions 15 to 518 of the family's 1533-position model. The record is from RNAcentral.